AAGCCGGGACGCAUCCAGCAGCAUCUCGAAACGUGCCGCUUUUCCUCCCUCCUAAAUCAAAGGCGUUCGGGGGCACGUUCGCCAGGCACGGCCGGCGAGUGACCUCCCCACAGCCCCCCUCGAAAUUACGACGCUGUAUUUCUCAUCGGGAUAUUUCCCGGUGGGGAAUAAUGGCUGGAAAAUGCGGCGGAGCAGCGCCUCGCUCCCUUUGCUCCGCUGGCUCGGGAGCGCACACUAAAGGAGCCCUGGCUUCCUAUAAUAGCACGGCUGCUCCGUGCUCCCGAAAUUUCUGAAUUAAAAGGCCACGACGUCUUUGCCGCGUUCUUGGAUUUUUCCUUCAUCGCGACUGCUGCAAGGCGCGGAUGUCACUGGCAUAUUAGACCCGGUUCUUCCGAAUGGCAGGGGGCAUGGAUUUCGACUGCAGAGUUAGUGUUUUCGUUUAAGGAAGGCAAUUUACCCAAAUCAAAUCAAAUAAUUAAUAAUAAUAAUAAUAAUAAACGAAAGGGGCGGGAAAAAAAAAGACAAAAAAGGAGAGGCAAAAAAUAAAGCUAAACCAACCGAACAAAACUAACACGAACAGAAAUGGUGCGAGGAGGGGGGAGGCGAUCUCUGAGCUGCAAGCAGGACAGGAAAGCCGCUCGGAGAAGGCAGUUCUGCUCCGACCCUGCAGCAGCGAGGGCUUUGAAAGCCAGACUGAAAGACCCACGGCAACCCCUGUCCUCUGCGUGCAGCUGGGAAUAGGAUCUUGAUCUUCUCCUUAAUGGGGAGCAAACCCAGCUGGAAGCUGGGUUCCCUUCACCGAACGAUUUCUUCUACUCGAUCCUGCCCCAUCCAAAAAAAAAAAAAAAAAAAAAAAGAAAA
This is a long non-coding RNA of Pyrgilauda ruficollis (rufous-necked snowfinch), 861 nucleotides long. RefSeq lists it as uncharacterized. The transcript is spliced from 2 exons. The record is from RefSeq and is a predicted model, not a curated record. NCBI's taxonomy places the organism in Eukaryota, Metazoa, Chordata, Aves, Passeriformes, Passeridae.